This 253-nucleotide ribosomal RNA is filed under the name uncultured bacterium. RNAcentral's name for it is "partial 16S ribosomal RNA". It matches the Rfam family "Bacterial small subunit ribosomal RNA", at positions 524 to 776 of the family's 1533-position model. The record is from RNAcentral.
UACGAAGGUGGCAAGCGUUACUCGGAAUUACUGGGCGUAAAGGGCAUGUAGGCGGUUCGGUAAGUCUGUUGUGUAAGCUCCCGGCUUAACUGGGAGAGGUCAACGGAAACUACCGGACUUGAGUAUAGGAGAGGUUACUGGAAUUCCCGGUGUAGCGGUGAAAUGCGCAGAGAUCGGGAGGAACACCAAUGGCGAAAGCAGGUAACUGGACUAUUACUGACGCUCAGCUGCGAAAGCUAGGGGAGCAAACAGG